RNAcentral lists this long non-coding RNA (295 nucleotides) under Ricinus communis (castor bean). Its description in RNAcentral is "long non-coding RNA (RCOM_LNC000588)". The record is from RNAcentral. Lineage: Eukaryota; Viridiplantae; Streptophyta; Magnoliopsida; Malpighiales; Euphorbiaceae.
UCACACAAUAUCCAUACAAAAGUCAUCAAUCCUUAAUCACAAUCAUUUCACUUCACAACACAUCACAAUCAAUUCACUUCACAACACAUCACAAUCAAUUCACUUUAUAACAAGCCAAAAACAUAACUAAUAUCAACUCAGUCAACCAAGAAAUUAUCAAGUAAUCAAACAGCAGUCCCUACUCAAUAUACACAAAGUUUAGUCUAUUAAAUACUUACCAGAAGUUAUAGGAUAACAAAGUAAUCCUAUUCUUUUUCUCUUACCACUUCCUUGCCUUUGGAUGAACCUAUUCACA